UUUAGUUGGAAGAAAUUUUCAGGAAAAUUCUCAAUUUCCAAGCUGGGCAAUUUCAAUCACUGUAAUAAUUCCUAUUGUUCUUGUUAUUGUUAUUGCCUUGGCAGUUUUACUUAUUGUUCUUUACAUUGGAAAAGGAAAUGAAUUGUGUGCUCCUGGAUCUAAAAAAGAAAAAGAAGUGCUGUAAAAAACAGAUCAAUAAUGUAAUUUGAUUGUACUGGAUAGACUUAAUCAUUGUGUUUAGUGUUGUGAUGUUUACUUCGUACUAAU
Amphimedon queenslandica is the source of this 267-nucleotide long non-coding RNA. RefSeq lists it as uncharacterized. Lineage: Eukaryota; Metazoa; Porifera; Demospongiae; Haplosclerida; Niphatidae. The transcript has 2 exons. The record is from RefSeq and is a predicted model, not a curated record.